Molecule: long non-coding RNA, 329 nt
Organism: Helianthus annuus (common sunflower)
Lineage: Eukaryota; Viridiplantae; Streptophyta; Magnoliopsida; Asterales; Asteraceae
Exons: 3
Source: RefSeq, a predicted model, not a curated record
UUGAAGACGCUACGUCUUCAUAGAGAUAUGUUGGAAGCACUAGACAAUGUAUGUGAAGGCCACCUGACAUUGAAGCUUCGGUUUAGCUGCCGGUGGAAAUAACAUACUUGAAGUAUAUGGUUCUAUGCAUGAUAUUUGGUUUUUCAUCUCCAGAAGCUUACUCAAACCCCAAAGGUGCCAGCUGCAGAUACUGCUUAUUGCUAUAAUGCUUCAUCUUUCUUAACAAAGUCUAGUAAAUGAUGACAACAAAGGAGAUGCAGCUCACCCAUAUUUUUGUAAGAAGGUACUUGACUCGCAUCUUAUCUUUAACUGAAACCUAUUAUUAGAUC